UGGCGGCGUGCUUAUACAUGCAAGUCGAACGAGAUCCAUCUGGUGGUAACACCAGCUGAAGAUUUAGUGGCGAACGGGUGCGUAACACGUGAGCAACCUGCCUCGAAGACUGGGAUAACACCGGGAAACCAGUGCUAAUACCGGAUACCCCCACGGAAUCACAUGGUUCUGUGAGGAAAGGAUUCUGCUUCGAGAGGGGCUCGCGGCCUAUCAGCUUGUUGGCGGGGUAAUGGCCCACCAAGGCGACGACGGGUAGCUGGUCUGAGAGGACGAUCAGCCACACUGGGACUGAGACACGGCCCAGACUCCUACGGGAGGCAGCAGUAGGGAAUCUUGCGCAAUGGGCGAAAGCCUGACGCAGC
Molecule: ribosomal RNA, 362 nt
Filed under: uncultured bacterium
Lineage: Bacteria
Description: bacterial SSU rRNA
Rfam family: Bacterial small subunit ribosomal RNA
Source: RNAcentral